RNAcentral lists this ribosomal RNA (253 nucleotides) under uncultured bacterium. RNAcentral's name for it is "partial 16S ribosomal RNA". It matches the Rfam family "Bacterial small subunit ribosomal RNA", at positions 524 to 776 of the family's 1533-position model. The record is from RNAcentral.
UACAGAGGGUGCAAGCGUUAUUCGGAAUUACUGGGCGUAAAGAGCGCGUAGGCGGCUCGAUAAGUCUGAUGUGAAAUCCCUGGACUCAAUUCAGGAAGUGCAUUGGAUACUGUCGAGCUCGAGUGAAGGAGAGGAAAGCGGAAUUCCCGGUGUAGAGGUGAAAUUCGUAGAUAUCGGGAGGAACAACAGAGGCGAAGGCGGCUUUCUGGACUUCAACUGACGCUGAGGCGCGAAAGCGUGGGGAGCAAACAGG